Molecule: ribosomal RNA, 866 nt
Filed under: Rhizoctonia solani
Lineage: Eukaryota; Fungi; Basidiomycota; Agaricomycetes; Cantharellales; Ceratobasidiaceae
Description: eukaryotic LSU rRNA
Rfam family: 5.8S ribosomal RNA (bases 400-553)
Source: RNAcentral
UAUACGACGUAUAGAAGUCUGGUACUAGGAAUCACUAUAUCCACCUCGGACCACGAGAGUUAUUCUUGUUCUGAUGAUUUUUUUUUUUUUGUGGAAAUAAAAGUCGUAACAAGACCACUGUAGGAGCACGUGGGACGACAGUGAAGACAUUAGAGAAUUUAUUAAUGAGGAGUCGAGUUGGAGCUCGCCUUUCUUCCGGCAUGCGCACACUCUUCUCUCUCAUACACACACACCCCUGCGCACGUGUGAGACAGUUGAGGGUUGGUUUGGAGUCGGCGGGUUAGUAGAGCUUUAUUGCAAAACUCUCCCCCUGUUCUCUUCCCCCUUGCUGUCUACUCAAUUCUACACACACUCUAUUAAUUUUAAAACGAAUGUAAUUGAUGUAACGCAUCUAAUACUAAGUUUCAACAACGGAUCUCUUGGCUCUCGCAUCGAUGAAGAACGCAGCGAAAUGCGAUAAGUAAUGUGAAUUGCAGAAUUCAGUGAAUCAUCGAAUCUUUGAACGCACCUUGCGCUCCUUGGUAUUCCUUGGAGCAUGCCUGUUUGAGUAUCAUGAAAUCUUCAAAGCAAACCUUUUGUUAAUUCAAUCGGUCUCUUGCUUUGGUUUUGGAGGUCUUUGCAGCUUCACAAUCUGCUCCUCUUUGUUUAUUAGCUGGAUCUCUAAGUGUUAUGCUUGGUUCCACUCGGCGUGAUAAAGUUAUCUAUCGCUGAGGACACCCGUAAAAAGGUGGCCAAGGUAAAUGCAGACGAACCGCUUCUAAUAGUCCAUUGACUUGGACAAAAUAAAACUUUUAUGAUCUGAUCUCAAAUCAGGUAGGACUACACGCUGAACUGUAACCAUAUCAAUAAGCUGGAGGAAAAAGGAA